Molecule: long non-coding RNA, 2236 nt
Filed under: Sorghum bicolor (sorghum)
Lineage: Eukaryota; Viridiplantae; Streptophyta; Magnoliopsida; Poales; Poaceae
Description: long non-coding RNA (SBIC_LNC003439)
Source: RNAcentral
ACUAGCAGGUACCACAUUACCAAUGUGGGAAUUUUUCUCUUCUUUGCAUCGUUGCCUAAUGUAGUGUCCUCUGGUGGUUGAGAUUCUUGUACCACCUUUUUUGCCCCCUUCCUCUGGUGGAGGAUUCUCUGCCACUGUAAAGGUCAUUGUUCUUGUACCGACUGGCCCCACACCACGGACAUUUGUCUAGAUCUUUGAACGUAUCACCACAAAAAAGGAUACAGUGGUUGGGGCAUGCAUCUAUUUUCUCAACACCCAUUGACAAUGGACUUAUAACCUUCUUUGCAUGAUAUGUGUUGGUGGGAACUAAGUUUGGUUGUGGCAACACCCAUGAUAAGAGACCCAACAGAUCAUUGAAACUGCAGUCAGACCAGCUGUACUUUGCCUUCAAGAUGAUUAGCUCAAGCACAAAAUAGAGCAGUGUCCAGUGGGGUCGGACAACCCUUCUCAACACUGUACAUAGUCUCCAUCGAUGCUUUUUUCACCCUCUCUACAUUUUCUACACCUUUAUUCCGCAGUAAUAUUUCUGGUCCAAUUGCCCGAAUCAUGUCCUCUAAAUUGUCAAAGUUAUCUUCAUCCCCCUCACGUGCUCCUCCAUCAGUGCUGACAUCACCAGCAUCAUUAGCACCUUCUUGAUUACCAAAGUACCGACCACCUUGUCCAUUGCCAUAGUCAUAGCCCACUUCUUCUUCAAGCUCAGUUGUGUAUUGGUGCAUAUACCUCACGGUCUCGGUGGCAUCUCCUAGAUCAAAGUUUCCAUCAUCAGUAACCGUUGUUUCGCCAUGAUGAAUCCAUACUGUGUAGUUCGGAACAAAUCCUCACAUAAUUAUAUGUGAUCUGAUGAUAUUCACAUCUGCAAAUGCCAUAAGGUUAUUGAAAUCUUUGUAGGGACAAAUAAUUGUAUCCUUAUAAUAUGUCAACGUUAAUGCAUGCUUCUCUGCGGCUUUAAUAAAUUUAUCCACCUCAUCACAAAAACCUUCAUCAAUCCUUGACCAAUCAUACAUCCAAGAGUUCUUGUACUCCGUCUUUUAAAGCAAAACAAAAAUACAAAAUACAUAAAACAAAAAAAGUUAAUGAAGAAAAAUGCAAACUAGACAUUAAUUGUGUAUAUACUCAUAGUAGAGGAUAAUUAUUUAGUUGGCUAUUAAUAAAACUAAAUAUUUAGAAAAGGAAUAAGCAACAAGUAUUAUUUUACCAAUUAGCAACAAUUAGCAACAAAAUGAAAAUAUGAAAUACAUAAAACAAAACAAAUUAAUGAAGAAAAAUACAAACUAGAGAUUAAUUGUGUAUAUAUACUUGUUAUUAUUUUACCCAAUAAACUUUGUUGAUGCAAAAGUGGAUCUGCAAACUCAAAGGGCUAAUACCCAAUCUAAUAUCCAAAGUGUGCCAGUCGAUUUGACCCGUUAAUCGACAAGGAUGAUAACUCGAGUACUUUGGUCCUGACAACAGCGAUACGCCCGGAAGCUACGGCUAAGAGGUACUCACACGGAACUCGAGGAUCAUCGAAGGUCGCACUAAAGCGAUGCAGCUCGUCGAAUCGAUGAGAACUCAUAAAAAGAAAAUAUAUAAAUUGACGAAAUCACCAAAAAGUAAGUAGAUGCAAGUAGGAAUAAAAUUGGUUUGAUAUUGGUUGAUGUCUAUCUUCUACAUUGUCCCUCGGUCCAUAUUUAUACCCUGAUUCGAAGAAACAUAACUAGACACGACUAGAACACCGAGUCCAUAUCUAAGGAAAAACAUGACUCUUAAAUGAGUCAUACUCUAACAAAUACAGAAAAGGAAAAAGACACCUAUAUACUUCCUUGUCCGCCUUAAUUACGAUGAAAGUUUCAUCGGCUUCCGCUCCAUCAGCAUGCUUUCCGUCAUCAUAAGCUUCAUCGACUGUAGUCUUCAGAUCUUCCUUCAUCGACAUUGUUGACACUAGCUAACACCACUUAAAUACUAGGUUGUCAUCCCUAGCAUGGCGCCAGAGUGUACAAAGGUAUUUAUAAAUGUAAAGGCUCUCUAGAAAAUAAUCUAUUCUAUCCGCAAGCGCACAGAUAAAACACCUCAUUGUAGCAUUUCACCAGGAUAAGUAUUCCAGGUAUCGUUAUUUAUAAUUUUGCUUAGGGAUCUGAGGAAGAUGGAAUUAAAAUAAAGGGGGUAAAAUCUAUCAAGGCAUAGACUAGAGAUAAACUUGCAAGAACAUGAUUACUAAUGAGAAACUCGUCACACAGUCACUUACUUUAGCAGGGGGUAA